Molecule: unclassified non-coding RNA, 328 nt
Filed under: uncultured fungus
Lineage: Eukaryota; Fungi
Description: partial contains 5.8S ribosomal RNA and internal transcribed spacer 2
Rfam family: 5.8S ribosomal RNA (bases 1-133)
Source: RNAcentral
UGGUUCUGGCAUCGAUGAAGAACGCAGCGAAAUGCGAUACGUAGUGUGAAUUGCAGAAUUCAGUGAAUCAUCGAAUCUUUGAACGCACAUUGCGCCCCUUGGCAUUCCUUGGGGCAUGCCUGUUCGAGCGUCGUCUAAACCCUCAAGCACUGCUUGGUGUUGGGCGCUUGUCCCCGUUCGCGGGGACUCGCCUCAAAAGCAUUUGGCGGCCCGCGCAUUCGGCGGCUUCGAGCGCAGCAGACCCGCGCCUCGUCCGCCCGCAGCGCGGGUGUCCAGCAAGCCACACCCCCCAUUCUUCGACCUCGGAUCAGGUAGGGAUACCCGCUGA